This 760-nucleotide long non-coding RNA is filed under the name Sorghum bicolor (sorghum). RNAcentral's name for it is "long non-coding RNA (SBIC_LNC001147)". Lineage: Eukaryota; Viridiplantae; Streptophyta; Magnoliopsida; Poales; Poaceae. The record is from RNAcentral.
CUAUCUAAGGUUAUAUAUUUUAUCUUAAGUUCAUUAUAUUUUAAGCAUUGUCUAUUGAUAUUAUCCCUAUUUGUGGCUAUAUGUGAGAUUUGACUUUCUGGGCUCACAUAUGGUGUGUAUCUGGUUUUGUUCUUAAAAUCGGGUGCUACAUUUCUUCUCAAUCCUGUCACUUAGAGUUUUUGUAUAUUUUUGAAAAGAAAGUUAGCAUACCAUUUAUCCUCAUAGGUUCUCUCUGAUCACUCAUUAUCUUUUAUAUAUCUCACUGAGGCUGUUUUAAUUUGCAAAUAUUCUCAAGCAUACUUACUUUGCAUUUAUUGUCUGAUCAAAACGGGAUCCGAGGAGGGGAAUGUCAUACUCUUAGGUCAAUGACUUUGGAAAUUAAAAUCAUUGUCAACUCUUGCUGGCAUAUUGCUUAUUAGAGGGACCAUGGGUUAUUAUUUUCUUUCUUUCUCUUUUUUUUAAGUGGAUACCGAGGUACCCCUAAUUCUACUGCCGGACAUUUAUCCAUUUUUUCUGCGAGGUUAUCGAGCACUUGCUCCUUUUUAUUUCCACGAAAUAUCUUUAUUUUUGCAUAGCCCAUGCCUCUAAUGCAAUAAUACCUCAGAAGAGUGAAUCUUUCUGAAUAAAUGUCUUGAUCUUAGGAGCAUGAUAAAUCUCUCAACAAGGGUCUAACUCAUUUUGAACAAACUCAAUACAGAGUAGAUAGCCUUUAUAAUCAUAAUUAAUAUUUUUAGUUUUAUCAGGCAUAAAAAAAACACUG